AGCGGGGUGGGGUAGCCAGGUAAUCCCGGCGGGCUCAUAACCCGCAGAUCCGUGGUUCAAAUCCACGCCCCGCUA
Transfer RNA from Geoglobus ahangari, 75 nucleotides. It matches the Rfam family "tRNA". Rfam says of the family: Transfer RNA (tRNA) molecules are approximately 80 nucleotides in length. Their secondary structure includes four short double-helical elements and three loops (D, anti-codon, and T loops). The record is from Rfam. Lineage: Archaea; Methanobacteriati; Methanobacteriota; Archaeoglobi; Archaeoglobales; Archaeoglobaceae.